Molecule: ribosomal RNA, 465 nt
Filed under: uncultured bacterium
Lineage: Bacteria
Description: partial 16S ribosomal RNA
Rfam family: Bacterial small subunit ribosomal RNA
Source: RNAcentral
AAUGGACGUUGGCGGCGUGGAUUAGGCAUGCAAGUCGAGCGAGAACCCCGCAAGGGGGGACAGCGGCGAAAGGGACAGUAAUGUGUAGAUUAUCUGCCCUCAGGUCCGGGAUAGCUGCGGGAAACUGCAGGUAAUACCGGAUAACAUCUCCGGAUCAAAGGUGUGAUUCCGCCUGAGGAUGAGUCUGCAUCCUAUUAGCUAGUUGGUGGGGUAAUGGCCUACCAAGGCAUUGAUGGGUAGCAGGUGUGAGAGCACGACCUGCGUCAUUGGGACUGAGACACUGCCCAGACACCUACGGGUGGCUGCAGUCGAGAAUCUUCGGCAAUGGGCGCAAGCCUGACCGAGCGACGCCGCGUGUGGGAUGAAGGCCUUCGGGUUGUAAACCACUGUCAGAGGGGAUGAAAUGCAGGUGGGUUCUCCCAUCUGUUUGACAUAGCCUCAGAGGAAGGACGGGCUAAGUUCGUG